ACCCGAAUAUGGAUAGAUGUCAACAUUAGCACACAGUCUGUCUCACGCACAUUAUUGAGCGAACUUGACAUGGUGUCAGAAGUGCUGUGUAGCUAAAGCAGGACAUAUAAAGGUCUACUACCGUAGCGACGUAGGUAAAAGUUCGGAAGAAGUGUUCGGUGAAGUUAGAUGAGUGAUAACCCGCAGGACCUGAAAGCAGCUAACCUUAGCAUGGCGGCUAACACUCCCAGCGCUACGUUUAACAUCCAGCCGCCGGAGCCCUUCGACUUUUCCAAGCCGAACGACUGGACCAAAUGGAUUCGGAGAAUUGAGAGAUUCCGUCAGGCAAGCAAUCUGUCUGCAAGCUCCGAAGACAACCAGAGAAAGCAUGCAAAUCAUAAAACAAAAUACGAGGAGCUGACGUCACUGAAAAGAAAACGGACUUUGGAAAAUGGGACUUCCAUCCUCAAACAGACCACAUUGGUGAAUGCCAGAUCCAUCUCUCAAAGCUCAAUAGACAAAGCUGAGAUUCAAUCCAGUUGAACUCACGUUCCUAACUGAGUAUGUCACCACCAUGAGCCCAGUCGCCCAGGCCUUCAACAUUCUUCAGGCCGAAACGAAAGUCCAGAUGGGAUGGCUGCUUCCGACUAUUAUCCUGUUGAGUACAAAACUAGAGAAAGCCACGUUCCAUGUAAAGCACUGCAAGCCGUUGGUUAAAGACUUGCAAGUGGGAAUAAACAACCGCUUUUGGCCACAUGUCAACAGACCCUGAAUUGGUUGCCGCUGCUAUUCUCCUCCCUAAAUUUAGAACUGCAUGGACAAAAGAUGAUGCUACAAUCAGAAUGGGAAUGGAUUACGUCAAGGAGCAGAUGACAGAUCCUUCCUUGUCAGGAGAAGCCGACAGAUCCAGCUCAUCUGAUGAGGGAGACUUCUUCUCUUCCCUGAAGAGCUCUCACGUUACUCGAGACAGCUCCAAGCAACUAGAUGGAUACCUGGCCCUUACAGCAGAUCAGAUGGAUGUACUGAAGACGUUCCCUUCUGUCUGCAAGUUGUCUGUUAAGCUGAACACACCUCUGCCUGCCUCUGCAGCCUGUAAACAACUGUUUAGCUUUGCAGGACUCGUCUUCAGCCCUCGAAGAGCUCAGCUGGAUUCGUGCAAUUUUGAGAAUCAACUUCUGCUUAAGAUGAACCACAAGUUUGUUGACUUUUAAUAAAGCACUAUGACAAAUUAAA
Molecule: long non-coding RNA, 1212 nt
Organism: Limanda limanda (common dab)
Lineage: Eukaryota; Metazoa; Chordata; Actinopteri; Pleuronectiformes; Pleuronectidae
Exons: 4
Source: RefSeq, a predicted model, not a curated record